Molecule: transfer RNA, 73 nt
Filed under: Canis lupus familiaris (dog)
Lineage: Eukaryota; Metazoa; Chordata; Mammalia; Carnivora; Canidae
Also listed under: 1 other name
Rfam family: tRNA
About the family: Transfer RNA (tRNA) molecules are approximately 80 nucleotides in length.
Source: Rfam by way of RNAcentral
ACCUGGCUGGCUCAAUUGGAAGAGCAUGCAGUUCUUGACAUUGUAGUUGUGGGUUCGAGUCCCACGUAGGGUG